AGGACGAACGCUGGCGGCGUGCUUAACACAUGCAAGUCGAGCGGAAAGGCCCUUCGGGGUACUCGAGCGGCGAACGGGUGAGUAACACGUGAGCAACCUGCCCUUAGCUUCGGGAUAGCUCCGGGAAACCGGAAUUAAUACCGGAUAUGACUAUGGCCGACAUCAGCCAUGGUGGAAAGUUUUUCGGCUAGGGAUGGACUCGCGGCCUAUCAGCUAGUUGGUGAGGUAACGGCUCACCAAGGCGACGACGGGUAGCCGGCCUGAGAGGACGACCAGCCACACUGGGACUGAGACACGGCCCAGACUCCUACGGGAGGCAGCAGUGGGGAAUCUUGCUCAAUGGGCGAAAGCCUGAAGCAGCGACGCCGCGUGCGGGAUGAAGGCCCUCGGGUUGUAAACCGCUUUCAGCAGGGACGAAAUUGACGGUACCUGCAGAGAAGGCCCGGCCAACUACGUGCCAGCAGCCGC
RNAcentral lists this ribosomal RNA (468 nucleotides) under uncultured bacterium. RNAcentral's name for it is "SSU rRNA". It matches the Rfam family "Bacterial small subunit ribosomal RNA", at positions 26 to 518 of the family's 1533-position model. The record is from RNAcentral.